CAUUAAAAGGAGGCAGCAGGCGCGCAAUUACCCAAUCCUGACUCAGGGAGGUAGUGACAAGAAAUAACAAUAAACCGGCUUAUGCCGGUUUAAUUGGAAUGAGUACAAUUUAAACAUCUUAACGAGGAACAAUUGGAGGGCAAGUCUGGUGCCAGCAGCCGCGGUAAUUCCAGCUCCAAUAGCGUAUACUAAAGUUGUUGCAGUUAAAAAGCUCGUAGUUGGAUUUCUGUGGGGACGGAGCGGCCGGCCGCAACACGCGGUUCGAGCUAGCGCUUUCCCUACAUCCUGCCGCGAACCGUGCUACCAUUAGUUUGGUGGCGCCGGGGAUCGGCUCGAUUACUUUGAGAAAAAUAGAGUGUUCAAAGCAGGCCACACGCCUUGAAUAAGUUAGCAUGGAAUAAUAACUAAGGACUUCGGUUCUAUUUUGUUGGUGUUCGGGACUGAAGUAAUGAUUGAUAGGGACAGUUGGGGCGGUCUGUAUUCCAAAGCGAGAGGUGAAAUUCUUAGACCUUCGGAAGACAAACAGCUGCGAAAGCGUUCCGCAAGGAUGUUCCCUUUGAUCAAGAACGAAAGUUGGGGGAUCGAAGACGAUCAGAUACCGUCGUAGUCUCAACUAUAAACUAUACCAACUAGGGAUCGGCCAACGUUAUUCUAUACCGACUUGGUCGGCACCUUAUGAGAAAUCAAAGCAUCUGGGUUCCGGGGGGAGUAUGGUCGCAAGGCUGAAACUUAAAGGAAUUGACGGAAGGGCACCACCAGCCGUGGAGCCUGUGGCUUAAUUUGACUCAACACGGGAAAACUUACCAGGUCCAGACAUAGUAAGGAUUGACAGAUUGAUAGCUCUUUCUUGAUUCUGUGGGUGGUGGUGCAUGGCCGUUCUUAGUUGGUGGAGUGAUUUGUCUGGUUAAUUCCGUUAACGAACGAGACCCCAGCCUGCUAAAUAGCGCGCGUGAGCUUUGCUCGCGGCGAGCUUCUUAGAGGGACUAUGAUGCGCGAUAGCACAUGGAAGUUUGGGGCAAUAACAGGUCUGUGAUGCCCUUAGAUGUUCUGGGCCGCACACGGGCUACACUGGCGCCUGCAACGAGCAUAUCAGCUGGCCCGAGAGGGUCUUGGCUAAUCUUUUGAACCGGCGCCGUGCUUGGGAUUGACCUUUGCAAUUGUUGGUCAUGCAACGAGGAAUGCCUUGUAAACGCGAGUCAUCAGCUCGCAUUGAAUACGUCCCUGCCCUUUGUACACACCGCCCGUCGCUCCUACCGAUGAAUGUUCCGAUGAAAUUUUCGGAGAGUGCCUGUGAACUUGGCUCUGCCUUGCGAACGGGAAGCUCAAAGUCACUUAAAUCGAACCUUUAG
This 1349-nucleotide ribosomal RNA is filed under the name uncultured marine eukaryote. RNAcentral describes it as "SSU rRNA". It matches the Rfam family "Eukaryotic small subunit ribosomal RNA", at positions 412 to 1776 of the family's 1831-position model. The record is from RNAcentral.